Long non-coding RNA from Ailuropoda melanoleuca (giant panda), 937 nucleotides. RefSeq lists it as uncharacterized. The transcript is spliced from 3 exons. NCBI's taxonomy places the organism in Eukaryota, Metazoa, Chordata, Mammalia, Carnivora, Ursidae. The record is from RefSeq and is a predicted model, not a curated record.
CCAAUAAAGCUUGACAAAGCCAACGAGUGAGUCAGUGGCAAAGGCCAGAAUUAGUCCACUCGAUUGACUAUAACAUUCCCUGCAAAUCUAAUGAGGCAGGUCCUGUGCCAAGUAAAGGGACGCAGACCUCGCAUAUCUGGGUCCUUCCUGACCCGGGUUCCUCCUACCUCUGCGGUAAGGGCAGGGCAAACCCCGUGCAACGACCUGAGCACCUAGCUCCCUCGGUGAAGGGCAGUCUCUUUCACCAGGUCCUGGCCUUUCCCAGCUGAGGCAAAUCGUUGUUGUCCUAGAGACUUCUUUUCCCCCUUGUAACAGAUAAAAUGUUUUUGAACGAUUCCUGGCCUGUGUUUCCUCACGAUAAGCUGGUUUCUGUUUCCUGAACCCUUUCCACUCUGGGAGCAAGGGCAGGAGUCGCCUCCGGAAGAAAGAGGAUAUGAUGAAGGGGAAUGUUCUGUCAGACAGGAAGGGGAGGGGCAAAGUCUACCCUUCUUCUUAGGGUCAUUGCAGACCAGAGAGGAGCUGGAGGUAUGAGACUGCAGGGUUAUGUGUGUUCCAAUGUUCUUUUUGGGGUCUGAGUCAAACUAUGGUUGGGACAGAGGAGAAUGCGAUAUGGGUACCCAAGCUGCUGUUGAUUCUCAAGAAGUGGACCAGACCCAGACGCUCCCGCAGGAACUGAAAGGCUGCAUUUAAAAUAAAGUGGGCCUCUGGGAGCCAUGGAUUUCAGGAUGAUUAUCACUAUCUCUAGAGAAAUUAAUUACAGGAAAAUAGCAGUUACUACUGUGGCUCUCCACUUGAUUUCCAUCACUCAGUCUGUCAACUAUACUCUCAUAGUGGCCAUGACCUUUACAUUCUGCUCUGAAACUAAAGUUGACCCUUGAACAGUACAGGUUUGAACCAUGCGGGUCCACUUAUAUGUGGAUUUUUUUCAGUAAAUACA